UCUUGGUGGCCGUUGAUGAUGGACGCUGUUUCAGCUCCACGCCUCUGGCUCUUCUUCACGACCUCGUUGGGAUGUUUGACUCGCAGAUGUCUCAGCAUGGCCGUGGUGGUGCCCUGGCUAUGUCUGACCAGAAAACUGUUGCAGAGCAGACACUGGACCGACUCUGAGUCGACGGUUUUAAAAAAGACCCACACCACGCUUCUUUUCCCGGCCAUGUCUGCCCUCUGCUGCGGCUUUUCGCGCUGCUCACACUCCGCACUGUAGCGAGCCUCGCACAGGUUGUGAUUCGGAUCUGGCUCCUGACUCAUGAUUUCAACACACUCCCAUUCUCCACUACAGCUGGACCGUUUCACCGCCUCGACCACCGUCUGCACGUACAGACCAUCCUCAAAUGUCGGUGCCAUGGCAACCGGUCCUCGCGCCCAUGACCUGCGCUCUUCGUGAGCCUGAAAAGACUGUCUCAGUGCCUUUACCAUGGAGCUCAGCCCCCGCAGGUGAGGCAGGGGCAUCUCUUUCACCUCUGGUCCUGCCCACCCAUUGUCGCCUAGCAAAAGCUCCUCACCUUUACUCCCAUUGCGCUGACCAUACAGUUCUGUCCCCCUUGCAACGAGUCUCCCAGUGGAUCCAACUACCAUAACCUCAUGCACAUACGACCCUGGCAUGUUGAAGUUCAGUGUCACAGUGCAACACACACUACCAGAGCUAGACCCAGUUUCACCCAUCAACAUUUGGAAGAAACAGAAAUCAUCACUGGUGACGCGGCGGAUGCCUCGGAUAACACCAUUCUGUUGUACAAAGGUCCGCAGUAAGCCAUGAACACGAUGGGCUCGUGCACCGGUUAGGUAACUUAAAAGGUCAAUUAUGGCAGAGCCGACAGUGUGCAGACCGCCUCCUCCCAUCAGCUCUUCACAUGUCCAGCCGUACGAGUGAUCCAGGAGGCUCGGGCCAUAGACUCGGACAUCACACACCUGCAUUUCGCCAACAUAUCCCUCCACCAGCAGCUUGCGCAUUGCAACAAAGGCAGGCAGGAAGCGCAGGGUAUUACCCAUAAUGCUGAGCAGCUGGGGGUAGUAUCUGGCAGCAGUCACCAUCUUGAAUGAAUCCACAGCAGUUGCAGCUUUCUCACACACAACAUUCUUACCUAUACCUGCAGAACGAGGAGGGGUAGAGAGGGGUUAUAAUUAGUUAGAUAAAAUUUAAUUUAAUGAUCUCUGGGAUAAAGGCAAUGAGAAAACCAGGAUUUUGAUUAUCAAAGAUACAAUCUUGCCUUGUUUUGCAACAGCAGCAACGAAAAAGGUUAAACAAGUGAUUUCCUUCUUUGAAUUAAUCUUUGAUGUUGCAUCACGUUAACUCAUUAUGGUUCUUAACCUGCUUACACACAAUUCAACAGCAUUACAGACCAACUUGCAGCGUCAAAAAUUAACAAAGUUGAUUCAACACAAAAGGUAGGAUUUAUUGCAGGACUGCAGCUAAGUGUACCUAAACUACAGUUAAAAUGGCAGAUGACUAUAUAUUAAAUAUGAUUUGAAAGUGUAGGGUGUCCUUCGUGUCUCACUGCUCGGGCACGCUGUGGAGUUGAUUGCCUUAGAUGGCAUUACUGCCCAGUUCCUGGAGUUUGGUAUGAAUAAACAAAAUUCAAAGUUCUCCUGCAACCACAUGUGAUAACAGAGAGGGUGUGCACAGUUUUUAUAUAUGGAGAUCAGUGGCUUUCAAUACCCCUUGGAAGUAGUGGCGUAGAUAAGUCCUUUGGUGGGGACACACUCAGGAAGUUGCAACUAAAACAGGAAGCUGAGGUCAACACUCAGGAAUUCCAUCAGAUACAGUAGGUUAACUUUUUAGAUCUCUCUCAAUCCUGUGAUACGACAAUGUGUACAUUAUGCUUCAGUGUGUUGCUAACUGAGUUAAGAUGUGGGAAAAUUUUUGUCUGUACGUUUUGUUUGGGGUUUCCCACCCUCAAAUUACUAUGUUCCCUAUGGGCACGGCUAUGAUCACCAUUAAUCACAUCUCAAAGAUUAACCCUGAGAAAGACGUUACAGAAGCCAUUUCCAGUAUAUGCAUCGUUUGGAGAGUUUUGCCAUUACAGUCAGAAAAUUCAAAUCUGUUCCAGAGCCGACCUGCCACGCCCAGCUGGCUCAGGUCACGUCGGCAAUUUGUAUAACUCACAUGAACAUGCAAAUGGUAAUCGGAAUGUAAGACCUGAACCUGGUGUUGAGGAUGAACUCUGAGCUUUUUCAUAGCAAUGCCAUGUGUUUUAUGGUUUGUGAUAAACAUGACUACAAAUGUUAAGCUUAAAAGUGCCAGUUAAACACUUUAAAUAUACCCAAGUUUUUUGGACAACCUGGCAGUUUAGUAAACGUUUGUGUGUUUGUGACCCGUUACCCAGUGCUUUGACAGCAAUCUGCCUCGUCAUUGAAGGUGGAAUAUGGAUGCAAACAAGGUCGACAUCUUGGUGCAGUAGGACGUCAUCAGAUCGGCUGGUGUGAAAUGGGAUGCCAAGCUCCUUCGCCAAGCAGCACGCUUCCUCUUCACUUCGCCCCCAGAGCGCAUGAACCUCAAAGCCUUCAGCUUUCAGCAACGGGACCAGCACUCGGGCUGUGCUACCCGUGCCAAAUACACCGACUCCUGGCAACAUGGCAAGGCCACUCACUGCGACCUUACGUGUUAACCAUUGCCAGCUUCACAAACAUCCCAACAGACAACGAUUCACUCGUCUGUCAAGGCCUUUACCAUGUCUGGAAUUCAAAGAGAGCUUUCAGUACCUGUAAAAAUAAAAGAACAGACAAAUGAAGCUA
This is a long non-coding RNA of Micropterus dolomieu (smallmouth bass), 2792 nucleotides long. RefSeq lists it as uncharacterized. The transcript is spliced from 2 exons. The record is from RefSeq and is a predicted model, not a curated record. Lineage: Eukaryota; Metazoa; Chordata; Actinopteri; Centrarchiformes; Centrarchidae.